This is a long non-coding RNA of Macaca fascicularis (crab-eating macaque), 4003 nucleotides long. Lineage: Eukaryota; Metazoa; Chordata; Mammalia; Primates; Cercopithecidae. The record is from Ensembl.
CUUUAACUUAUUAAACAAAUCUAAAAAUGUUUUUUCUUUGUAUAGAUAAAUUAAAGCAAUUUUUUAAAAAAAAUGGUAUGUCUAUUUUUUGUUUGUUUUCAUUUAUUUGUUUUAGAAUGACGGGGAAAAUGGAAGGAGAAAAAAAAACAAUGCUAAAAAGCCUGGAGAUGACCACAUAUGAAAGGACCAUGUGUGCAAAGGACUGCUGGAAAAUGAAUCAGGGAUGGCCUGGAUCCUGCCAUGUAAAUCAAAGAAGAGAGGGCCUGACUUAGCCGCCUAGCCUGGUUCACCUGGAACCCAUUAGGAUACAGGAUCAUAAACACCUCUAUUUUCCCUUCAGAGAGAGACCAGAACCACUGGAGUUAAGCUACCUGCAUAAGAGUUGAGUGCGAUCAGCUGUACUUAAUCUUUAAAUGUCCAACCCGCUGAUAACCUUUGGUUUGCUUUGAUAACUAUGAAAUAAAUUCUCACUGCAUUGGAUACUGGCAUUCUGGUUUUUAUUCAAGGCUGUAUUGCAGAUGUCAUAGAAUUUUGGACUGGACAGCAGUCCUUGGAGAUCUCUGGGUCCAGUUACUGGCUUUCAGGCACUUAAUUUCUAAGCCUUCCUCUGCCAACUGUAAAUUUCUUCAGGGAAUGACAUGGCAUUUGUGCAUUACCAACCUUUAGGUACUUUAUGGGGUGAAAACCAUUUGGAGGUGGGAGAAAGGGAAAAAAAAGAAAGAUUCAUCAGAUCCAAAGCUUUACAACAUAGUAUAACAGAAAGAAUGCAGUUGAAGUUUUGAGCAUCUUGGGUUUGAAUUCAACUCUUCUAUUCUUGCCCCUCCUCCCAUCCCCUGUUUCCCAUCCCCCAGCAGUGAGAUCUUGGGAAAAUAUUAACUCUGUUGGCCUUGUUUGUUUUUUCCUCUGUAAAAUGAGGGCAGUGUUCGAUGCCUCUCAAACUUGCAUGUAUAUAUCAACCACUUGGGGAUCUUGUUUAAAUGCCGUUUCUGAUUCAAGCAGGGCUGGAGUGGAACUCUAGAUCCUACAUUUCUAAAAAGCUCCCAGUGGAUGCCAACUCUGUGGGUCUGAGGAUCAUGCUAUGAUUAGUAAAGGACUAAAUCAGUGGUUCUGGCUAAAUCACAUAAAGAGCAGUUAAAAACACUGAUGGACUCAUUUAAAACCAGUUAACUCAGUAUCUCUAUUGGUGCAGUCCAGACACUGAGAGUCUUAAAAACUCUCAGGUGAUCCCGAUUCUGAUAUGCAGCCGUGGCUGAGAACCAUAAGCCUGGGUCAGCGAUUCUGAAACUUGAGGGUGCAUCAGAAGAACCUACGGGACUUGUGUGACAACACAGGUUUCUGGGCACCACCCCCAGAAAUUUUGAUUCAGUGAAUCUGGGCAGGGCCCCUAAAUUUGCAUUUCCCAAUUGAUGUUGACACUGCUGGUCUGGGGACCACAUUUUGAGAAAACUGGUCUAAAUGAUCUCUAAGGUCCCUUUCAGCUCUGAACAUAGCUUAUGCCAUCAAGAAAUUCUUCUUUUUUCCAUAGCACAUAUUCAAAUAUAGAUUAUUUGUGACUAUAGUGUAUGAAUUUUGAAGUCAGUUACUCAGUUGAACCAAGGCAUCUGUUCAAAACAUGAACUUUUUUUCAUUUACUUUUCAAAUAUUACUUCUUGUUCUGUCCUGGUUAUAAACAUAAAACAUGACUACUCUAAAAGUUGUGGAAAAGAAAGAUAAAUAUAAUGAAGAAAUUAAAAAAUUUCCCAUGUAACAAAUUAUAUUCCCAUCCAAUAUUUUCUUUUUAUGCAAGCAAAUAUAUAUUUAAAUAGUUAUAAUAGUCUAUACAAUUUUAUCUUCUGUAUAAACUGUUAAGUGUGGGCUCUCAAGUGCUGUAUCUGGAUUUAUAUCCUGACUCUAACACCUAAUAAGCUUAAGGAUCUUGGUUCAAGUUCCUAUCUCUCUGUGUUGAACUUUUUCCAUUUGUAAAAUGGAGAUAGUAAUGGUGCUUACCUUGUAAAAUUUGUUUUGAGGAUUAAAUUAGUUAAUACAUAUAAAACUGACUCAUACAAGAAUAGCUGGCUCAUAAUACUCUAUUAAUUUUAUUAUUAUUUAAUGUAACAAUAUUUUUUCAUAAUCAAAAGGUAAAAGGACUCUAUAAACAUAACCUUUUGUAGACUUUGAACUAUUCUCUAGUACUAUCCCUACCCUAAUUUAUCAGUUUUCUUAUUUUUGUUGAUUAUAAUGCUGUUCUGAAAAUCUUUGUAUGUGACUUUUUGCUCAUAGACAUGAAUUUCCUGUAGGUAGUAAGAAGUAAAUCUAACAGGUGUCUAUAUCAAAAUGCAGAUUUAGGGUUCUUCAUACAUAUGUCCAGCCCUUUGAUGAUAUAUUUCUGGAAUUUAGGAACAGUUAAGGCUAUGACUUGUUAUUGAUAAAUUAGCCUCUGCUGGAAAUGGAAGUGGGUAGAAGAGCUUGUUUCUGCUUUCUCCUCAUCCCAAACUAUUUAUUAAUUCAACAAGAAUCAAAGGGUGCUGUGGAGCACAAUAAAGGGAAGAUGGCUUAAUCCUACUCUUGUUUAUCUUUGAGUUGUAGAGGUCAGAGUUCAAUGAAGCUGUCUGGACUUGAGUGUGAGUGUGGGUUAUUGUUGGUGAAAAUGGGACAUACAUUUAUGUUAAAGGUAAUAACUCUACCAUUUAUGUUUAGCAAAAGGUCAAAGAAUACUUGGCAGAUCCUCAUGGUAGACAUUGCUAUCAUAAUUUGUGAGCAAAUUAAUAUUAAAUAUAUUCAUGAGCUAUCAUAAGACAAUAUUGGGCUAAAUUUAUGUUCAUUUUUAUUGUAAUUCUUUACACAAAUAUUUUCACUCUGAAUAUAUAUCAUAUUAUGGAGGCAUUAUAAAAUAGUAAAAGUGCAUGAAUUUUGAAGUCACAUAGACCUUGGUUCAAAUCCCGGCUCCAGUACUUAUGAAUCAUAUAGUCUUGAGGUAAAAAGAGAUUCUGCUAUGUCACUUUUCUAAUCUAUAAAGCGAGUGUUUGUGUGUGUUUGCACAUAUAUGUCUGUCUAUCUAUCUAGAUAUAAUUCUAAAUUAGCAAAUAAACCAUGUAUAAAUUAAUCAAGUGUAUUUUAGAGCAAUUAGGCUGCAGUCUGGAAUCUAGGAGACUAUACAAGCUUGAAAUUAGAAGUUUUUGAAAUUUAUAACUUAAAAAAAAUGGGCAGGCAUGGUGGCUCACACCUGUAAUCCCAGCACUUUGGGAGGCCGAGGUGGGCGGAUCACGAUCAGGAGUUUGAGACCAACCUGGCCAAUAUGGUGAAACCUGUCUCAAAGAUACAAAAAAUUAGCUGGACGUGUUGGCACAUGCCUGUAAUCCCAGUUACUCGGGAGGCUGAGGCAGGAGAAUCACUUGAACCUGGGAGGUGGAAGUUGCAGUGAGCCCAGAUCGCGUCUUUGCGCUUUAGCCUGGGUGACAGGGCAAGACUCUGUCUCCAAAAAAAAAAAAAAAAAAAAGAAUUUUUAAAUUUUAGUAAUUAAUAAUCAAGCCAAACUCCAUUUUAAUCAGCACUGGAAUUGAUUUAUAUAGAAGUAUGAGACCAAAUAUACCUACCUUAUAAUACUCCCUUUUCCCCUUUGGUAUCAAAAAAUGGAAUGAGGUUCUUUUCUCUAGACUGAUGCUUCUGUAAUCACAGCUCUGUCCCCAACCUAUUCAGAUGGCUUCCCUGUAUUACCAGCAUGACCCUUCCAUAGUCAGGCCAGUACUGUCUGUAUUUUAGGACCUUUCAUUGCUUAUUCCUACCUUCCUGUAGAUUUCUGUUUUCAGGAAGCUUAUAGCCUACUAAAGAAGAACAUCAAACUAAGUAGUUAUUGAAAACAGAGAUGAGUGUUGUAUGGAAAUUUACAGAGUGUGAUAGCAACAGAGAGCCGGGGGACCUAAUCUGGGAUUUCUGAGAAGCGCCAUUUAUUCAUUCAACAAAUACUUGAUGGACACUUAGUAUGGACCAGACAUGUGUUAGGUCUAGUUGGGUAUUUAAAAGGAAA